UGGGGAAUAUUGCACAAUGGGGGGAACCCUGAUGCAGCAACGCCGCGUGAGUGAAGAAGUAUUUCGGUAUGUAAAGCUCUAUCAGCAGGGAAGAAAAUGACGGUACCUGACUAAGAAGCUCCGGCUAAAUACGUGCCAGCAGCCGCGGUAAUACGUAUGGAGCAAGCGUUAUCCGGAUUUACUGGGUGUAAAGGGAGCGUAGGCGGUCCGGCAAGUCAGAUGUGAAAGCCCGGGGCUUAACCCCGGGACUGCAUUUGAAACUGCCAGGCUGGAGUGUCGGAGAGGUAAGUGGAAUUCCUAGUGUAGCGGUGAAAUGCGUAGAUAUUAGGAGGAACACCAGUGGCGAAGGCGGCUUACUGGACGAUUACUGACGCUGAGGCUCGAAAGCGUGGGGAGCAAACAGG
RNAcentral lists this ribosomal RNA (404 nucleotides) under uncultured bacterium. RNAcentral describes it as "bacterial SSU rRNA". It matches the Rfam family "Bacterial small subunit ribosomal RNA", at positions 355 to 776 of the family's 1533-position model. The record is from RNAcentral.